UACGGGGGAGCAAGCGUUGUUCGGAUUUACUGGGCGUAAAGGGCGCGUAGGUGGCCUGUGGAAGUCUGCGGUGAAAGCCCGGCGCUCAACGCCGGGUCGGCCGUGGAUACUCUCGGGCUUGAGCUUACUAGAGGCAGAUGGAAUUCCGGGUGUAGCGGUGGAAUGCGUAGAGAUCCGGAAGAACACCGGUGGCGAAGGCGGUCUGCUGGG
RNAcentral lists this ribosomal RNA (210 nucleotides) under uncultured bacterium. RNAcentral's name for it is "partial 16S ribosomal RNA". It matches the Rfam family "Bacterial small subunit ribosomal RNA", at positions 524 to 733 of the family's 1533-position model. The record is from RNAcentral.